RNAcentral lists this ribosomal RNA (547 nucleotides) under Verruconis gallopava. Its description in RNAcentral is "eukaryotic LSU rRNA". It matches the Rfam family "Eukaryotic large subunit ribosomal RNA", at positions 50 to 524 of the family's 3401-position model. Lineage: Eukaryota; Fungi; Ascomycota; Dothideomycetes; Venturiales; Sympoventuriaceae. The record is from RNAcentral.
GCGGAGGAAAAGAAACCAACUGGGAUUGCCUCAGUAACGGCGAGUGAAGCGGCAACAGCUCAAAUUUGAAAUCUGGCGCCUUGGGCGUCCGAGUUGUAAUUUGUAGAGGGAGUCUCGGGUUAAGGGUCGGUCCAAGUGCCUUGGAACAGGAUACCGAAGAGGGUGAGAGUCCCGUAUCCGGCCGACGCCAGCGCCCGUGUGAGGCCCCUUCGACGAGUCGAGUUGUUUGGGAAUGCAGCUCUAAAUGGGUGGUAAAUUCCAUCUAAAGCUAAAUACUGGCCAGAGACCGAUAGCGCACAAGUAGAGUGAUCGAAAGAUGAAAAGCACUUUGAAAAGAGAGUCAAACAGUACGUGAAAUUGUUGAAAGGGAAGCGUAUGUGGGCAGACUUGGACGCUGGAUUCAGGCCGCCUUCUGGCGGGUGCAUUUUCCAGCGGACGGGCCAGCAUCGGUUCUGAGGGCCGGACAAAGACGAAGGGAAUGUGGCUCCUCUCUGGGGAGUGUUAUAGCCCGGCGUGCAAUGCGGCCACUUGGGACCGAGGACCGCGC